Molecule: long non-coding RNA, 1208 nt
Organism: Prionailurus viverrinus (fishing cat)
Lineage: Eukaryota; Metazoa; Chordata; Mammalia; Carnivora; Felidae
Exons: 3
Source: RefSeq, a predicted model, not a curated record
GGGAAUGAAGCUGAAUCAGGAAGCCAGCAGACAGAAGACUUCACAGAAGAGGGGGUGUUUGACUUCAGCACUGAGAGCAAAGGAUAACAUCAAGCCUUAAAAUCUGGAAAGAACGUACCUCAUAGAUUUUUCAUUUUACUAAGCGCUUCAGUGAUGAAACAGUUCUUCCUAAAACACGCCUUCAGAGACCUUUCUUUGAGACAAUAUGUGAUAAUUCUUUUAAAAAAACUUGACCCCCCCCAGCUCAAUGAGACAGCUGUGUUUAAGAUGGCCUUGCAGAGCCUUAGAAAAGCUCUGGGAAAUGGCCAGACACAUCACCUUGCAAUUCGUGUCAAGAGUUUGGAAUUUAACCUGAGAAGGGUAGGCGCCAUAGGGGGACUUCAAUGAGCAGCGAGGUAAAGAUCUGAGGUAUGUUUAAAUGGAUAAUUCUGUGUGGGGAAGAGAUUACAGAGAGUCAAGUGUGGAGGCAGAGAGAUGGCAAUGAUGCUUUGUGCCAAGAUGGAGAUGGGGAGACAGGGCGAGCUUGGUCCUAUAUAUUGAAGACCUAGUUGACAAGAUUUGCAGAUGGGAUGUAAGCAAAGAGGCAUAGAAGUUGACUACUUUUUUUUUUUUUUUUUUUGCCUAAACAACUGGGCAAUCAUGAUGGCAUCUAGUGAGAGGGAAUUUGAGAGCGGAGAAAGUUGGAGAUCAGGUUAUGGCAUUGUGUUUGAUUCUGGACAUGCUAAAUCAAAUAUCUAAGCAUUGGUAUCAAGUAAGCAGUCUGGAGUUUGGGGGAGAUGUUGGUGCUAACAUACACAUUGGGAGCUGUGUAGAGGUAUUUAAAGCCAUGAGACCGGGUAUGAUCUCUUAGGAAGCGAGACAGCAAAGAGAAAAGUUUCUAUGAUUGAGCCCUAGAUCCUCCAGCAUUUAAUCGUCGAAAAAAGAGGUGGAUCCAGCAGAAGAAUAUGAGAAGGGGUGGCCAGGAAGGAGGAGUAAAAUCAGAGGGUGGAAUCCUUGGAGCAAAGUGAAGAAAGUGUUUCAAGAAAGAGGAAGUGCUCAAUUACGUCAGAUGCUACUGACAGUCAGUGAAGCUUUGGUGACCUGGGUCAUGACGCUAAAUGCAAUUGCUUACUGAGUGAUGCGCUGGCACUGGGUUUUAUACCAGAUGAAAACUGAGUUAAUCAUGGGAAAAAUCAGGCAGAGUUCAGGGUGUGCUGGGUUUUAAAUAG